Molecule: long non-coding RNA, 777 nt
Filed under: Equus caballus (horse)
Lineage: Eukaryota; Metazoa; Chordata; Mammalia; Perissodactyla; Equidae
Description: lncRNA (ENSECAG00000048904.1)
Source: RNAcentral
CCAGCCUCUUGGGUCAUGUAGUGACUCUCAAUAGGUGAUGGGGGGUGGGGAAGACAGCUUCGGAAGCCCACCUGGCAAAAAAUCCACACUGGGGGCGAGAGAUAAACCGGCACAUUCCCCAGACUGACCCACUAGGCUUCUUUCAUAACUUACUGGCAAUGAGCUGAGGAAGCUGUGAGUCUGGGAGUUAUUGAUUUUCUCUCAUCAUCAAAAUUCCUGCUUUUGGUGAGGGAACCAAUGCCAAGUAAGCACAGAACCUGUCUUCUCUCUGGACCAGAGCAGCUCAUGCCCCUUCAGAAAAACAGGCCUGGUGCAGUGGCAGAGUGAGAGCUCAGCGGCAGUGGGCAGAGAACUUCAGAGUGACAUUUUGGUCAUGAAGCCCAAACGCACUGGCUCUCAACUGCAUCUCUUCUCUGGGGCCUUGGGGUCGGGGCGACUCCUCGUGCUACAGCAGCUGCAGGAAGCGCUGAGUGACAUCACCUCCCCCUAAGCCAAGAAGCCUCCACAAGGUAUACUGUGGCAGGAGACACACUGUGUGAGCAAUCAGAAGCCAGCUCUGCAGAGACCACCAGUCUCCGAAGGCCAGCAGUGUUGACUAUCCCAAUACUGAACAGCUAGCUAGGUUACGUCCCGCCAGCGGGCAUCCAACCCCACUCCCCAAGAGCCGCCAGGAGGCCCAAGGCCUUCACUUCACAGUGCUGAGAUCUGAACACACACUAGCCCUCUGCAGGUCGUCUUCAUCUGGUUAAGUAUAUGCAAAGAUGCAGACAAUAAGAC